AUACCUUUCUCGGCCUUUUGGCUAAGAUCAAGUGUAGUAUCUGUUCUUAUCAGUUUAAUAUCUGAUAUGUGGGUCAUCGGCCCACACGAUAUUAACUCAAUUUUUUAAGGGGGAAGGUCCACUAGGAUAGCUUGCUAUUCGGGCCUUUGUGUGUUGCUUUGGUGUUGCACUAUAGCCAAAGCCUGGCGCACCCCAC
Molecule: small nuclear RNA, 196 nt
Filed under: Nicotiana sylvestris (wood tobacco)
Lineage: Eukaryota; Viridiplantae; Streptophyta; Magnoliopsida; Solanales; Solanaceae
Description: U2 spliceosomal RNA
Rfam family: U2 spliceosomal RNA
About the family: U2 is a small nuclear RNA (snRNA) component of the spliceosome (involved in pre-mRNA splicing). Complementary binding between U2 snRNA (in an area lying towards the 5' end but 3' to hairpin I) and the branchpoint sequence (BPS) of the intron results the bulging out of an unpaired adenosine, on the BPS, which initiates a nucleophilic attack at the intronic 5' splice site, thus starting the first of two transesterification reactions that mediate splicing.
Source: Rfam by way of RNAcentral